This is a non-coding RNA of Elaeis guineensis (African oil palm), 830 nucleotides long. Lineage: Eukaryota; Viridiplantae; Streptophyta; Magnoliopsida; Arecales; Arecaceae. The record is from RefSeq and is a predicted model, not a curated record.
CCUUUGUCCCAUCUUCCCCCAACUUCGCGGUCUCAAAGAAUUCAAAAACCCUAACUGUAGAUCAAGAACCGUCGAAGGCCAUGGACUCUCGCCGGAGGCCGGCGUCCUCCUCCUCCACCGUCGGCAAUGGCGAUCUAAAUGAUCGCAUCGGCGACCGGAACGAUCGUGGUGAGGAGAAGAAGGCGAGUGCGGGCCAGACUUGUCUUCAAGAACGAGCUCUUCCAUCACCGAGAGCCCGAGCGAGGUGUCCGAGGGCGAUUGUAAAGCAGGAUCUGUUGGCAAUGCCGAUCGAUAGAAUCGGGUCGGUGAGUGGAACGAUCUUUGGGUGGAGAAAAAUGCGAGUUCGGGCUAGACUUGUCUUCAAGAACGAGCUCUUCCACCGUCAAUAACUCGAGCGAGGUGUCCGAGACCUCAAUUGGAUCGGCGAGGGGGACGGUCUUGGUGAAUAUAAGAGGUGCGUUCGGGAGAUAGCGUAGGGAGCGGUGAAAGUUCCGGCGGGGUUCGUGGAACGGCCUUCGACUCCGGUGCAUGUGUGAGCGUUAAGGAGCCUGCUGAGUUCGGAACGAUCUUUCAGCAGAUUCGUGUUCUCUGGGCAUGCAACUCUCUUCAACCUUGGCACAGUAGUUCUGCUUGCAGUAAACAGCAAGCUUGUUAUUGAGAACUUGAUGAGGGUUUGCAAAAUUUCCUAUUCUUGUUGUGGCCAGAUAAAGAAUCGUACAGUCUUUCUUUUGUUUGUGUCUGCUUCAUUAGAACAAUAUUGAUCUUUCUCACUUUAUUCUUGUUGUAUAAUUUACUUAUAGGAAAUGGAUUUUUCUUCAGUUCAAGGUUUC